RNAcentral lists this transfer RNA (72 nucleotides) under Olea europaea subsp. europaea. Its description in RNAcentral is "tRNA.Asn". The stretch from base 9 to 65 matches the Rfam family "tRNA", at positions 8 to 63 of the family's 71-position model. Rfam says of the family: Transfer RNA (tRNA) molecules are approximately 80 nucleotides in length. Their secondary structure includes four short double-helical elements and three loops (D, anti-codon, and T loops). Lineage: Eukaryota; Viridiplantae; Streptophyta; Magnoliopsida; Lamiales; Oleaceae. The record is from RNAcentral.
GUCCUCAGUAGCUCAAUGGUAGAGCGGUCGGCUGUUAACCAGUUGGUCGUAGGUUCGAAUCCUACGAAGAUG